AUAAGACCUGUGAAACUCUAAAACACAUCUCCUGAAUGCAACUCAGACACUUUUAUUAAGCUAAGGCCUC
This 70-nucleotide transfer RNA is filed under the name Liolaemus andinus. RNAcentral's name for it is "tRNA-Ala". The record is from RNAcentral. Lineage: Eukaryota; Metazoa; Chordata; Lepidosauria; Squamata.